CUUAUGCUUCAGCAAAAUAUAGGCAGAUAAACAAAGCUAAAAAUUACUAAUGAUGAUGUUUGAGGAAAUUGAUGUGGAAGUGGCUGAGCCAGAUGAUGAGGAUAUUGAUUUAGAUGAGUUGGAGAGGAGAUUGUGGAGGGACAAGAUGAAGCUCAAAAGGCUCAAAGAAAAAAUGAAUCAAGACAAGGAAGAUGUUGAUUCUGCAAAGAGGUGGGGGAAGAAGUCAAGGAGAGAUAAGAUAUGGAGGGCACACGAUGGGUUUAGAUCGGACCGAAUCGAUUGAUGUGCACCCUUAGUAUAUCAAAAGAAAAUAUUUUUCAUCAAAUUUGAUGGUAAACAAAAGUGAUACGUGUAAUGUGUGUUGCAUCUCUAUUUUAUGAAUGAACAUUGCGUGUCGUAUUUAUAUAUGA
Solanum tuberosum (potato) is the source of this 410-nucleotide long non-coding RNA. RefSeq lists it as uncharacterized. The transcript has 2 exons. NCBI's taxonomy places the organism in Eukaryota, Viridiplantae, Streptophyta, Magnoliopsida, Solanales, Solanaceae. The record is from RefSeq and is a predicted model, not a curated record.